GCAACUGCAUUGUUGUGAAAAUUGUGAAUGUUUAAUUUAGUCUUUUUACAUGAUUAUAGGUUUCCUUGAAGUUUCUUGACUGGUGACAUUGUUAUCUAGAUAUGGUCACAUGAAGGCUGAAUUUGAGUUAUUAUAAAGAAGAUAUAUUGGCUCUGAUAGUGAUAAACGGCUAAUACUCAUUUUGUCUACACCUCUUCUUGCCAGAUCUAAAUAGACCUCGCUUUUAUUAUUGUUCCAAUUACAUUGGACAGCUGAUAGAUUUGAAUCUUGACGAGUAGGAAAGUUGGCCAUGGCAACGUGCUAUGCCUUAAUCUGUAUGUAAUCUCCUUAAUGUGUCAAUGGUGAACAUGGAAGAAAGUCUGUUAGCUAUGUCCAAAUAAGGUUCCUCGAAGAUCUGUUUUCAUCAAUCUGAGCUGUAUCCCUUUCAAUUUGAUUUGAACUAUCAAAUUUGGAUAUCAAUUCUCUUCAGCUCAUAGGGGCAGACAAGAUGUGCUUAUCCUUAAUCUUUGGAGAAGCGAAGAAAAAAAAUAUGAUGAUGGUAUUAAAGAAUGCACAAAAGCAUUGGAGCUAAACCUUAACUACAUAAGUGUUUUGCUAAGAAGAGCAGAGGUGUAUGAAAAGUUGUAACAAUUUGAAGAGACUAUAGCAGAUAUGACAAAGGUUUUGGAAGUUGACCCAUCAUAUGAUCAAGCUAGAAGACAGAUUGUUCGCUUGAAGCCAUUAGCAGAUGAAAAACGUCAAAAGAUGAAGGAAGAAAUGAUUGUUGACCAUUGGUGAAAAUGUGUUCUAGGGGAGAAGAGUGGAGGAGGAGGAGAGGAUCUGGAAUUUUUGCAAAAGUAAAAGGAGCUAGUGUGAGCUGAGGUGGCUAGUGCAUUCGGAAGAUUCUGGAGGAAGGGGAAGGUUAAUGUGAGCAGAUAAAGCUUUGCUUCAGGUGCUGCUAAAGAAUAGAUGCUUGUGGAAGUGGACAAACGAUUACUGAGAUUAGCAAAAGGAUGGUUUAAGGGAAAUGUAAGCUGAGGGAAAUUGGAAAUUGCAAUUCUGGUCAAUUUGGAAUGAGCGCUGACAAUUUCAAAGCUGUGAAAGAUCCAAACACUGGUUCAUAUUCUAUUCCAUUUCAGUGCUAAUAUCUUUUACAAACUUCACAUAUAUUCUUUAGUUUCUGGAGCUAUGGAUCAAAUGGACUGAAAUCUUAAAGAGGAUGAAGCACGUUUCCUCACAGUGUUGAUCUCAGUCGUAUGAUUAUGUUUUUACAUAUAACUUGAGAAAAAGAAAUUGAUGUGGUUUUUUGCCAUAAUAUGUUAUAAACAGACUUAAAGUUUCACUUUACUGGAAGUUUCUUAUAGUUGCUUUAGUACUUUCCAUUUCUUCGUGGUGUUGUCCAUGGUUUUGAUACUGUUUUGGAGGGCAUCUGAAGGUGCAGCAUAAUUUAUGCUAUCAACGUCUUUGUCAUGAUCUGUUCGGAGAGUAGCAUAGAAAUGUAGAACCUUGCACGCAAACAGGGAGAGAGUCCACCUCCUCUUCCCACCCAUCCCAAAAAAGGGUAAAUUCUGACUAGAUAUCAUAUCAUAGCCACACUAAAAGUGUGUAAGCUCGGAUGAACACUGAAAUGGUCUGGUUACUCCGUAAUUUUCAUGAACUCUGGGGGUGUUUGUUGGUUGCAUGAUUUUUGGGCGGCUUGGGGAUAUGUGGGCGCAGACAGCCUCAUUGAAUCGGCACAACUCAGGAAUCAAGUUAAUUCUUGAAAAAUUGAAACUUGCGGAAGAAAGGCAAAUGGAAGGAAGGGACUCACUUUGGUAUCUCUGAACAGAGUUAAGGCUUCUGGGAUCCCUUCUGAUGAGAAAGUGAAGUUUGCAUAUGCAAUCAACAUAAGAAAGCUAGUCAAGCCACCACUACCAGCAGGAUACUGGGGAAUUCUGACCAAGGCUGAAGACCAUGUCGAUCAACCGAUAUAUAAAACAGCAGAAUUGAUCAACAAGAGCAAAUACAAUGUAUCUGAUGAAUAUGUUCGAUCAUUUAUCGAUUUUCAGGAGCUAAAUUAUCAUGAAGGGACCACAGUAGGAGCAAAGGUGAGUGGAAUUACUGAUUGGAGACACUUAGGCCAUCCACAGUGGACUUUGGUUGGGGAGGUCCUGUUACAGUUUUUCCUCUGUCAAGAAACCUGCUUGGAAGCGUUGAGCCCCGUUUCUUUUUGCCCUAUUCUUCAGCAAAUGAAGGGGAAAAGGAUGGUUGUAAACUUUCUGUGUGUUUGCAAGAACAUGCUGUUUCAGGUUUCAAAGAAGACAUGAAUAAGUUGAAGAAUUUAGAGCCUGGAUUCCUUUGAAUGAAGGGUUUCUUGUUA
Long non-coding RNA from Coffea eugenioides, 2338 nucleotides. RefSeq lists it as uncharacterized. The record is from RefSeq and is a predicted model, not a curated record. The transcript is spliced from 8 exons. Lineage: Eukaryota; Viridiplantae; Streptophyta; Magnoliopsida; Gentianales; Rubiaceae.